GGGAGGUAGUGACAAUAAAUAACAAUACGGGGUCCUUUCGGGUUUCGUAAUUGGAAUGAGUACAAUUUAAAUCUCUUAACGAUCAACAAUUGGAGGGCAAGUCUGGUGCCAGCAACCGCGGUAAUUCCAGCUCCAAUAGCGUAUAUUAAAGUUGUUGCAGUUAAAAAGCUCGUAGUUGUAUUUCGGGGUUAGUAGGUUGGUCAUGCCUCUGGUAUGUACUGGUCUCACUGAUUCCUCCUUCCUGACGAACCGUAAUGCCAUUAAUUUGGUGUUGCGGGAAAUUUGGACUGUUACUUUGAAAAAAUUAGAGUGUUUAAAGCAAGCUAACGCUUGAAUACAUUAGCAUGGAAUAAUGAAAUAGGACGUUUGAUCCUAUUUUGUUGGUUUCUAGGAUUGACGUAAUGAUUAAUAGGGAUAGUUGGG
This 423-nucleotide ribosomal RNA is filed under the name uncultured Glomeraceae. Its description in RNAcentral is "SSU rRNA". It matches the Rfam family "Eukaryotic small subunit ribosomal RNA", at positions 459 to 886 of the family's 1831-position model. Lineage: Eukaryota; Fungi; Glomeromycota; Glomeromycetes; Glomerales; Glomeraceae. The record is from RNAcentral.